CCCCGUCCCGGUCCCUGGCCCCUGCCCUGUCGCCCGCCGCCGGAGCGGCGACAGCCCGGCCCGCCGUUCUUCUGCUGCCGCCGCUGCCGGCACCAUGGGCAGUGAGCAGAGCUCCGAGGCCGAGAGCCGACCCAACGAUCUGAACUCCUCAGUGACUCCUUCACCAGCCAAGCAUAGAGCCAAGAUGGAUGAUAUUGUGGUUGUAGCUCAGGGCUCCCAGGCCUCACGGAACGUCAGCAACGAUCCCGACGUCAUCAAGUUGCAAGAGAUUCCAACCUUCCAGCCCCUUUUGAAAGGGCUAUUGAGUGGCCAGACUUCCCCAACAAAUGCCAAAUUGGAGAAACUGGACUCUCAGCAGGUGUUGCAGCUCUGCCUCCGAUAUCAAGAUCACCUGCAUCAGUGUGCAGAGGCCGUUGCUUUUGACCAGAAUGCUUUGGUUAAACGAAUCAAAGAGGUAAUGUGCUGUGGGAAAAUAACAUUGCUGACUGGUUAUUGUGCUUCUCUGCAACUCUGGAUGCCAUUUAAGACUUGACAUUUGUCACUAUUGCUUUGA
RNAcentral lists this small RNA (553 nucleotides) under Pongo abelii (Sumatran orangutan). Its description in RNAcentral is "retained intron". Lineage: Eukaryota; Metazoa; Chordata; Mammalia; Primates; Hominidae. The record is from RNAcentral.